AACGAACGCUGGCGGCAGGCCUAACACAUGCAAGUCGAACGCGCGUAGCAAUACGCGAGUGGCGCACGGGUGAGUAACACGUGGGAAUCAACCCUGAGGUUCGGAAUAACCGCGGGAAACUGCGGCUAAUACCGGAUGUCCCCUAUGGGGGAAAGAUUUAUCGCCUUGGGACGAGCCCGCGUCCGAUUAGCUAGUUGGUGAGGUAACGGCUCACCAAGGCUACGAUCGGUAGCUGGUCUGAGAGGAUGACCAGCCACACUGGAACUGAGAUACGGUCCAGACUCCUACGGGAGGCAGCAGUGGGGAAUAUUGGGCAAUGGAGGCAACUCUGACCCAGCCAUGCCGCUGGGUGACGAAGGUCUUUCGGAUUGUAAAGCCCUUUCGGCGGAGACGAUGAUGACGGUAUCCGCAGAAGAAGCCCCGGCUAACUUCGUGCC
This 437-nucleotide ribosomal RNA is filed under the name uncultured bacterium. RNAcentral describes it as "bacterial SSU rRNA". It matches the Rfam family "Bacterial small subunit ribosomal RNA", at positions 29 to 509 of the family's 1533-position model. The record is from RNAcentral.